CCUCGAUACACGCUUCACAAAAACGCCCCCGAGAUUACCCGACACAGGUAUCGGAGCUUCGACACAGAGGACACAUCACUAGUCUUUGGUCUUUUCUCCUGCACAGGGGGACUGGCAUUGGGAGAAGAGUCGGGCGGAGGAACAGCUCACCACUGCAGUUACAGGGAGAGAUGUUGGAAAGCAGGCCAAAACCUCAACACAUUGAGGACAUCAGCAAAAAACAGCCAACGCCGGCAAGCACAUAUCCAGUUGUUGUCCCUUUGACCACUAUGAAGCAGCCCAGAAGACGCCAGCGCAUCGAUAGUGGGAACAGAAGCUUUACCUGUGAUCAGUGUGGAAAGUCUUUCACUCGGAGUAGCAGCUUAAAAGUACAUCAGCUC
This is a non-coding RNA of Neolamprologus brichardi, 380 nucleotides long. NCBI's taxonomy places the organism in Eukaryota, Metazoa, Chordata, Actinopteri, Cichliformes, Cichlidae. The record is from RefSeq and is a predicted model, not a curated record.